GAACGCUGGCGGCGUGCUUAACACAUGCAAGUCGAACGCUGAAGCCUGGUGCUUGCACUGGGUGGAUGAGUGGCGAACGGGUGAGUAACACGUGAGUAACCUGCCCUUGACUUCGGGAUAAGCCCGGGAAACUGGGUCUAAUACUGGAUAUGACCUCCUACUGCAUGGUGGGGGGUGGAAAGAUUUAUCGGUUGGGGAUGGACUCGCGGCCUAUCAGUUUGUUGGUGGGGUAAUGGCCUACCAAGACGACGACGGGUAGCCGGCUUGAGAGGGUGACCGGCCACACUGGGAUUGAGACACGGCCCAGAUUCUUACGGGAGGCAGCAGUGGGGAAUAUUGCACAAUGGGCGCAAGCCUGAUGCAGCGACGCCGCGUGAGGGAUGACGGCCUUCGGGUUGUAAACCUCUUUCAGUAGGGAAGCAGCCUUUUGGGGUGACGGUACCUGCAGAAGAAGCGCCGGCUAACUACGUGCCAGCAGCCGCGGUAAUACGUAGGGCGCAAGCGUUAUCCGGAAUUAUUGGGCGUAAAGAGCUCGUAGGCGGUUUGUCGCGUCUGCUGUGAAAGCCCGGGGCUUAACUCCGGGUGUGCAGUGGGUACGGGCAGGCUAGAGUGCAGUAGGGGAGACUGGAAUUCCUGGUGUAGCGGUGGAAUGCGCAGAUAUCAGGAGGAACACCGAUGGCGAAGGCAGGUCUCUGGGCUGUUACUGACGCUGAGGAGCGAAAGCAUGGGGAGCAAACAGGAUUAGAUACCCUGGUAGUCCAUGCCGUAAACGUUGGGCACUAGGUGUGGGGGACAUUCCACGUUUUCCGCGCCGUAGCUAACGCAUUAAGUGCCCCGCCUGGGGAGUACGGCCGCAAGGCUAAAACUCAAAGGAAUUGACGGGGGCCCGCACAAGCGGCGGAGCAUGCGGAUUAAUUCGAUGCAACGCGAAGAACCUUACCAAGGCUUGACAUGGACCGGAUCGGCGCAGAGAUGUGUUUUCCCUUCGGGGCUGGUUCACAGGUGGUGCAUGGUUGUCGUCAGCUCGUGUCGUGAGAUGUUGGGUUAAGUCCCGCAACGAGCGCAACCCUCGUUCUAUGUUGCCAGCACGUUAUGGUGGGGACUCAUGGGAGACUGCCGGGGUCAACUCGGAGGAAGGUGGGGAUGACGUCAAAUCAUCAUGCCCCUUAUGUCUUGGGCUUCACGCAUGCUACAAUGGCCGGUACAAUGGGUUGCGAUACUGUGAGGUGGAGCUAAUCCCAAAAAGCCGGUCUCAGUUCGGAUUGGGGUCUGCAACUCGACCCCAUGAAGUCGGAGUCGCUAGUAAUCGCAGAUCAGCAACGCUGCGGUGAAUACGUUCCCGGGCCUUGUACACACCGCCCGUCAAGUCACGAAAGUUGGUAACACCCGAAGCCGGUGGCCUAACCCUUGUGGGGGGAGCCGUCGAAGGUGGGACUGGCGAUUGGG
This 1446-nucleotide ribosomal RNA is filed under the name Pseudoglutamicibacter cumminsii. RNAcentral describes it as "bacterial SSU rRNA". It matches the Rfam family "Bacterial small subunit ribosomal RNA". The record is from RNAcentral. Lineage: Bacteria; Bacillati; Actinomycetota; Actinomycetes; Micrococcales; Micrococcaceae.